ACUGCAAGUCGAACGGGUCUUAUAUUAGAUAAAGAGGUUUACUUCUUCUAUUUGAUAUAAGACUAGUGGCGGACGGGUGAGUAACGCGUGGAUAACCUACCUUAUACAGGGGGAUAACAACGAGAAAUCGUUGCUAAUACCCCAUACGUAUUGGCAUUGCAUGGUGCUAAUAUAAAAGCUUUAGUGGUAUAAGAUGGGUCCGCGUCUGAUUAGCUAGUUGGUGGGAUAAAAGCCUACCAAGGCAACGAUCAGUAGCCGGCUUGAGAGAGUGAACGGCCACAUUGGGACUGAGACACGGCCCAGACUCCUACGGGAGGCAGCAGUGGGGGAUAUUGCGCAAUGGGGGGAACCCUGACGCAGCGACGCCGCGUGAGCGAAGAAGGCCUUCGGGUCGUAAAGUUCUGUCUUUGGGGAAGAAUAAGAUGACGGUACCCAAGGAGGAAGCCCCGGCUAACUACGUGCCAGCAGCCGCGGUAAUACGUAGGGGGCUAGCGUUAUCCGGAAUUACUGGGCGUAAAGGGUGCGUAGGUGGUUUCUUAAGUCAGAGGUGAAAGGCUACGGCUCAACCGUAGUAAGCCUUUGAAACUGGGAAACUUGAGUGCAGGAGAGGAGAGUGGAAUUCCUAGUGUAGCGGUGAAAUGCGUAGAUAUUAGGAGGAACACCAGUUGCGAAGGCGGCUCUCUGGACUGUAACUGACACUGAGGCACGAAAGCGUGGGGA
Molecule: ribosomal RNA, 720 nt
Filed under: uncultured bacterium
Lineage: Bacteria
Description: bacterial SSU rRNA
Rfam family: Bacterial small subunit ribosomal RNA
Source: RNAcentral